Molecule: ribosomal RNA, 202 nt
Filed under: uncultured bacterium
Lineage: Bacteria
Description: partial 16S ribosomal RNA
Rfam family: Bacterial small subunit ribosomal RNA
Source: RNAcentral
UGUAGUCUGCAACUCGACUGCGUGAAGUCGGAAUCGCUAGUAAUCGCGGAUCAGCAUGCCGCGGUGAAUACGUUCCCGGGCCUUGUACACACCGCCCGUCACACCAUGGGAGCCGGGAAUGCCCGAAGUCAGUGGCCCAACCGCAGGGAGGGAGCUGCCGAAGGCAGGCCCGGUGACUGGGGUGAAGUCGUAACAAGGUAGC